GUUCUAUCAAAAGUUUGUUCGGCAUUAUGACAAUAAUUUACAUAGUCACAUGAGUCACAAUCCGCCUUUACGAAUCUAAAGAAAACUAUGACAACAACUAUAGUUUUGCAACUACUUGAUUUAUCGACACCUUUUGUUGUUGAAACUGAUGCGUCCAUUAUGGCAAUGAGGGUAGUUCUCUCUCAAAAAGGGCAUCCUCUAGCUUACUUCAGUAAGAAGAUGUCCACCAGGAUGUAACACUCCUCUGCUUAUGUCCGGGAAAUGUUUGAUGUGAUCGAGUCUGUUAAGAAAUGGAGACAAUACUUGUUAGACAAACAAUUUACAAUAUAUAUUGAUUAACAAAGUUUGAGACACUUGAUGACUCAAGGGUUUUACACACCAGAACAGCAAAAAUGGGCAACAAAAUUAAUUGGAUUUUAGUAUGUUAUCAAGUAUAUGACAAAUACCUCGAAUCGGGUUGCAGAUGCCUUAUCUCGAUGUAGUGAGGACAUACCCAUCAUGGAAGCCUUGUCAUCCCCAUUUCCUAAGCUUAUUGACCGCUUAAUGUUAGGUAUCAGUAGACAGAACAUAUCUAGAGGGGGGUUGAAUAGGUGUCGCGGUUACCAAUUACCGCUUUUUGCACCAAAGCCGUAUUCUGGAAAAAGCCUCAGUUAAUCGAUUAACACCCUGUCUUAAUCGAUUAACUCACAGAAAACAACAAGAUAUGGAAUGGCUUAUUGCACAACCACUCACCGAUAUUCAGAUACAGAUAAAUCAUAUAUAUUUGAGCAGAAUUAAACUAGAUAUAGCAAAUUUACAGUAUCCAAAAUAUCAACUAAUAUUAGGCAAUUAAUACAACUUGAAAUGUAAAGAGAUUAUGGAUAGAAAAAGCCUACAACAAGGAAUUUUAUCCUAGUUCGUUUGCGGGUCCACUUGCAAACUACAUCUAGGCCUCCCCUUCUGAUCUUGGGAGAUUUUCUUCACUAAUAUUGAAACGAAUGUAUUGUUACAUGCAAACUUCCAAUACACAAACUUAGACGCUCCCUUCUUGAAUCCAAGAACUCACUUUCUUGGUUUGACUCUCCUAAUCGCCUAAGAAAACCUUUCUUAUGAUCUAUCCCCAGCCAAGAAAACGUUCUAAACUCAAGACCUCUAAGUCUUGGUGAAGACUCACUGAAUCUCUUAGGUGGUAAGAACCCAAGAGACGACUUCCCUUAUUACAACACAAAAACAGUAUGAAAACAUAGUAUUAUAAAGCACAAUUUAGCUCAAAAUAUUACAAUUGAAACUCAGCUAAAAAACCUAUACAAAACUCACAAGUUAACAUGAAUAUGUAUGAGUUCAUUAAUAUGCAGAAACAAAGAAUUUUUAUCCUAAAAUUCUUAUAAAGAAAUGCAAGAAUCAUGCAAGAAAAGAUAUCAAAGUUUAACACAUUAUCCACAUGCAAUUUGAUGACAAUUAAACCCUAAGCAUGAUACUAUAUCUCACUAUCUCACAAUGCAUAUCACUCUACCUAUAUGACACAAUUAAGCACGAAAAAUAUGCAAAUAACAGUUCUAAAAAUGAAUGAUAUGAUGUAUGGUGCAUGACCUAAAAACACACUUUAUAUAGAAAACCUUUCCGAGACCCAGUUAAUCGAUUAAGUGCCCUUUUAAUCGAUUAACGGGCUGUUGAGAAUAACUGUUUUUAGGUUUUCAGUUAUCUGUUAAAACUGAAUUCACAUUAAUCGAUUAAUACCUUCCUUAAUCGAUUAACUGACAUGUUUUUCAGCUAAAUGAUUAAAUGGUAAACUACUUGUAUGUUAUGCUUAUCAACUAUACAUGUUUUACCAAUAUAUUAUGCUUAAGAUGCACAAGUAACACGUAUAAUUAAUGCAUGAACAUAUAAUAAUCUAGAUGACAUGUCUCAUGUAAAUGAAUUGAUUAUUUUUAAGGCUUGUGAGAAUUGCAUCUAAGUUUACCUAACCUAGACUCAAUAUCUAAGAUACACAUCUAAGACUCUAAAAAUGGCUCUUGUAAGGAACCUAGUCUAGACAUGAAACCCUUGAGUCCACAAUAUGUUGAUUUUUUGAGUCAUCUUCAAGCUUUCACUAAAUCCUUGUCUUCAUCAAAACAUAUGCAAUCUAAUAGUGCUACACUUUGCACUUUCACCUACGAUAAUAUUUUACCUCACUAGAAAGGCAUGCCAUUAUCAAGAAACAUGAAUCAAAACACAAUGAGCGCAUGCAAUACCAUUUUUCACAAGGCUUAUUGUUCAAUAAGGGAUGAAUUUUUAUACCUAAUCCAUGAAUAUCAUGAUACUCCGAUAGUAGGUCACUCGGGUUGGAAGGCCACCCUAGUCAAACUAUCGGUUACUUCCUCUUGGCUAGGCAUCACUAAGCAUGUUAAGCUUUUUGUCCGCCAAUGUGCUUUCUACCAAUCCAACAAGUACUCGCCCAAGAAAUACCAAGGCAUGUUACAACCACUACAAAUUCCAGAAAAAGUAUGGGAGGAUCUAUCCAUGGAUUUUGUGACACAUACCAAUGUCCAUGGGUAUACUGUGAUAUGGGUCAUUAUGGACAGACUCACCAAAUAUGUCCAUCUUAUUGCCCUUCCAACAAAGUUUACAACCGAGAGCCUAGCUCAUCGAUUUCUCAACGAAAUAUGUCACCUUCAUGGGGUUCCCAAGACGAUUGUCUCAGAUUGUGAUAAGAUAUUCCUAAGUGCCUUUUGGAAGGAAUUGUUCAAACUGUUAGGCACUACACUAUGCUACAGUAUAACAUAUCAUCCUCAAUCGGAUGGUCAAACAAAGGUAGUAAAUAAGGGGUUGCAGAUUUACCUUCAGUGCAUCACAGGCUCUCACCCAAAAAGUGGUUCACUUGUUUGUCGUUAGCUAGGUUCUGAUACAACACCAGUCACCAUUCGACCAUUCAAUUAUCUCCCUUUGAGGCCUUGUACGACCAAGCUCUUCCCAGCCUCAAAUACUAUAUGCCCGACACAACAACUAACACAUAGAUAUCUUUACCCUAACACAAAGACUAUAUGCCCAACCUCAAAGACUAUAUGGCACCUUGCAUCAAAGAGUCGAGUUAUUAUCUGAUCAUAAACAACAUUUGACACAUGAACAAAUGAGAAUGAAAUCACAAGCCGAUACAAAGAGAAGUGAUAUUACCUUUACCCUAGGGGGUUGGGUCUUGUUAUGGUUACAAUUGUAUCGCCAACAGUCUGUUUUCUGAAGGCCAUCCAAGAAUCUUUCUCGCUGAUACUUCGGGCCAUUCAAGGUUGUGAAACGAAUAUGACAAUUUGCUUAUGCACUGGCCUUACCAACUCAGUCACGGGUUGACCCCGUCUUUCACGACUCUGCCUUGCGGUGUUUCCAUGACCAACCGCUUGAGACUGCCAUGGAGUUACCACCAGGUUUUGAGAUAUCGCUGCCUGAGCUAGACGGCCCCGCCUAGAACACUCUUGAAGAAGGUGAAGACAUGGGCAUAAGGACAACACUCGAGAACUAGAUGGUUGGACAUGAGGAGGCCCAUCUUCUUGUGACGGGUUAUGAAAACACAGUGGUGGGUGAUGAAAACUCUCCCUCACUGAUUGAAAUGGGUAGAUAUGAUGAGGGACAUGUUGAAAAAAAUGUGAAGAUAUUGGAAGAGUUCAGAAAGAUAAAGGAUGAGAAAAAGAGGGAGAGUGCGGUUCCCUAGGGAGAAAAUGAGG
RNAcentral lists this long non-coding RNA (3671 nucleotides) under Lupinus angustifolius (narrow-leaved blue lupine). RNAcentral describes it as "long non-coding RNA (LANG_LNC001861)". Lineage: Eukaryota; Viridiplantae; Streptophyta; Magnoliopsida; Fabales; Fabaceae. The record is from RNAcentral.